Molecule: long non-coding RNA, 460 nt
Organism: Platichthys flesus (European flounder)
Lineage: Eukaryota; Metazoa; Chordata; Actinopteri; Pleuronectiformes; Pleuronectidae
Exons: 3
Source: RefSeq, a predicted model, not a curated record
CUCACCCUACUGGACCACAGCCCAAACAACAGCCCAGCUCCAGCUAGGCGAGGCCUAGGCACAAGCUAUCAAGCUACCACGCCAUCUACGGGUCCAGGGAGAUCUCCACCUACUAAACAUCAGGACCAGGUUGGAGGGCUCCCUCUCCACCAUCCCGGAACUAUCGGAUGAAGACGAAUUCCCACCACUACCAGUCAGCAGUGUUGCUGGUCCCCGGAAUGGCGCAAAGGAACAGCGAGGAGCCCCGGUAACCACAACGGGAGGGUCAUCAAACAUGAUGAGCGGGCAAUUAAAGGCUAACAAUGCCAUUGAAACCGUAUCUGAGACCUCCCUACCACCACUCCUCCUCGGAAGUCCACCUCCCACCGGUGCCAUUCGGGGACCCAGCACACCUUCACUCCCCGACGAUAGUCCCGCAGGACCCUCCUCCACCUCCUCCCCAUUCAGCUUACCACUAUAC